Molecule: ribosomal RNA, 258 nt
Filed under: uncultured bacterium
Lineage: Bacteria
Description: partial 16S ribosomal RNA
Rfam family: Bacterial small subunit ribosomal RNA
Source: RNAcentral
UACGGAGGAUCCAAGCGUUAUCCGGAAUCAUUGGGUUUAAAGGGUCCGUAGGCGGUUUGGUAAGUACAGUGGUGAAAGCCCAUCGACUCCAACGGUGGGAAACGGCCAUUGAUACUGCCAGACUUGAAUUAUUAGGAAGUAACUAGAAUAUGUAGUGUAGCGGUGAAAUGCUUAGAGAUUACAUGGAAUACCAAUUGCGAAGGCAGGUUACUACUAAUGGAUUGACGCUGAUGGACGAAAGCGUGGGUAGCGAACAGG